GGGCGGGGCUGGGCGCGGGGGGCCCCGGCAACCCUUAUCGUAUCGCGCAGAAAGCAAACUGCGCCUGGGCAACCAGUCGGGAGGGUGAGCCCCGCGCGCGACAGAAGCUUCUGGCGCGAAUGGAGAACCAAGAGUUUCUAAGUUCGUCUGCGCCGUCCGAGGUGACCGAUGGGCCGGUCUCAACAGAAAUAUCCACUUGCUCUGAAGUCUUCCAGAAGCCCAUUGUGCUCAGGAUUCUGGACACUCACAGAGAGCUUGAGGAGUCCGAGGAUCCCGAGAAACACGAGAAUCCCGAGGAACCCGAGGAGGUCAAGGAGCAAGACCAGCGAGACGAGUCCGAGGAAUGUGAUGAGCCUCACGAGUCCUAUGAGCCCCACGCUCCCUAUGCGCCCCACAAGCCCCGGGACUCCUAUGCAUCUUACGAACUCCUUGGGCCCCAUGCAGCCCCCAAACUCCUCAAGGCCCGUGAACCCCGCCAGCUCCGCCACACCCGUGAGCCCCGCAAGUCCCGCGAGGCCAAGGAAACCGAGUUGCUUCCCAGCGCCGCAGUAAUGAUCUCCCCCUCUCUGAUCACCAGAGCCCCGCCACGGCCUCAGCUGUCUUUCCUGGGUGCAAAUCCUGUUUCCUGUGACUUUGUAAGGAAAUGUUUUUCUUCUAGGAAGAGAACCCCAAAUCUUUCAAAGCCUAAAAAGCAAUGGGGAACUCCAGACAGAAAACUGUUUUGGGGAAAUCAAGAUCCUAUUCGCCCUGUUUCCCAGGGUGCUUUGAAGGCUCAGCUGACCAAAAGACUUGAGAACCUUGCCCAGCCCAAGGAAGUUUCCUGCCACUAUGUACCUAACAGGGCUCAAUACUACCACAGCUGGGGAAGAGAGUCUGUAAUUUGGGAGAUCACUCCUCCUGCGUUGUUUAGACAACCCUCCAAAAGGAUCCAGAGGCUGUCACAGCCCAAUGGAUUCAAAAGACAGUGUCUACUAAAUAGACCCUUCAGUGAUAACUCAGCAAGAGAUUCUCUUCGAAUCUCUGAUCCUUCUCCCCGGAUAUUACAACUCUCAGUAGCCAAAGGCACAGACCCAAACUAUCAUCCUUCAAAAAAAAUGCAAACCAAGAUUUCACUUUCUACCCUGAGUGCGAUUGCAACUCCAAGAAUUAUAGAGCUUGCCCACCCAAGGAUCAAGUUAGAGGGUCUGUGCUAUGAAAGACAAAGAAGUGAACUGCCCAUCCGUCCUGUAAGCUAUCACUACCUUCAGCUCACUUUUUGGCUGCUCUUAGGAUGCCAUUUUGCCUCUACAGGGCAUAGCCCAAAGUCACUGGAAAAGAGAAUCUGGGAAGAGUGGUCUGUGGCAGGAAGAGAGACUAGCUAGAUGAUAGGGAGAGAGGGAAAAGAGUAGAGCACCAAGAGCAUGGGCUUUGGAGUUCAGUUUUGGAGCUGGAUUCAAAUUGCAGCCUCGUCACUACAAGCUCUAUGAUGUUGGGACAAACUUCCUGAGCUUUAUUCAUUCAACAAAUAUUUGGAUGCCUACUGUGAGCCAGGCAGUGAUCCCAGUGAACAACUUGGAGCUCUAUGCUAAUCAGGGGAGACAAACAAUAAAUUAGUCAAUAGAUAAUGUCAGAUCAUGCUAAAUGCUAUCAGGAAAAUAACAUAGAAAAUGAAUGACUGUGGGGCAGGGCGGUAAGAUACUUUGCCUAUGGUAGUCAGUGAAGGCCUCUCUAAGGAAGGAAUAUUUGAGCUGAAACCUGACUGAUAAGGAGUCAACCAAGUGAAGAUCUAGAAGAAUAUUCCAGUAAAGGGAAGAGUACAUGCCAAAGUACUAAAGUUGGGAUGCACUUGAAAUUGGGUGGAGCAAGGUGAGCUACAGAAUUCUGGAGAUAGCCGCCCUCACCGAGUGGUCUGCUGUGUUGAGCAAUAACAGGUACCUCCUGCUGCCAUGAUAGCUAAACCUAGCCCCCGAACAAUAGCUCUAGCGAAGUCCAAGUCUGUUCAUCAAGAUUAUCUACCUGACCGUGAUGCCCAUUGGCCAGUAUCUUAUGCUACUACUCAUUCCAAAGCAUCACCUAGGAUUCAGGAACUAGCUAAUCCAAAUAAGAGGGCUCCUGUGCGUAUUGUGUAUUAUGAUCCAGAUGUCUUUAAAACCAAGCCAGCUGCUUUGAAAGCACAGUGUUCUCAAAGGAUCCGGGAGUUGUCACAACCUCUUACACGUUAAUUACAGAAAGCCACAACAGUCAGACCCUGGUUAUGUAUCUAGAACACAUAUUAGAUGACUUAGUUCCCUGUUGCGGUACUGUCAGUUUACAUUCACCCCUUGCUUCCCCUCCCACAAAAUGAGACCUUUAGGGAAAACCACCAUGAUCAUUAAAUAGCAGUUGUUGCUGUUACCUGUCACUGAAUCUUUAGCAGAUUUGAGGACUCCAGCAUGCAAUAAAUGAGAAAAUGAGAGACUG
RNA transcript from Pan troglodytes (chimpanzee), 2439 nucleotides. It is a transcript of the gene named sperm microtubule associated protein 2 like, with no coding region annotated. The transcript has 9 exons. The record is from RefSeq and is a predicted model, not a curated record. Lineage: Eukaryota; Metazoa; Chordata; Mammalia; Primates; Hominidae.